UACGAAGGGGGCUAGCGUUGCUCGGAAUUACUGGGCGUAAAGCGCACGUAGGCGGCUUGUUAAGUCAGGGGUGAAAUCCUGGAGCUCAACUCCAGAACUGCCUUUGAUACUGGCGAGCUUGAGUUCGGGAGAGGUGAGUGGAACUGCGAGUGUAGAGGUGAAAUUCGUAGAUAUCGAGAGGAACACCGGUGGCGAAGGCGGCCAACUGGACGAAUACUGACGCUGAGACACGAAAGCGUGGGGAGCAAACAGG
This 253-nucleotide ribosomal RNA is filed under the name uncultured bacterium. RNAcentral describes it as "partial 16S ribosomal RNA". It matches the Rfam family "Bacterial small subunit ribosomal RNA", at positions 524 to 776 of the family's 1533-position model. The record is from RNAcentral.